This 460-nucleotide ribosomal RNA is filed under the name uncultured bacterium. RNAcentral describes it as "partial 16S ribosomal RNA". It matches the Rfam family "Bacterial small subunit ribosomal RNA", at positions 338 to 795 of the family's 1533-position model. The record is from RNAcentral.
CCUACGGUGGGCAGCAGUGAGGAAUAUUGGUCAAUGGGCUCGAGCCUGAACCAGCCAAGUAGCGUGAAGGAUGACUGCCCUACGGGUUGUCAACUUCUUUUAUAAAGGAAUAAAGUGAGGCACGUGUGCCUUUUUGUAUGUACUUUAUGAAUAAGGAUCUGCUAACUCCGUGCCAGCAGCCGCGGUAAUACGGAGGAUCCGAGCGUUAAAAGGAUUUAUUGGGUUUACAGGGAGCGUAGAGGGGUUGUUAAGUCAGUUGUGAUAGUUUGCGGCGCAACCGUAAAAUUGCAAUUGAUACUGGCAGCCUUGAGUACAGUUGAGGUAGGCGGAAUUCGUGGUGUAGCGGUGAAAUGCUGAGAUAUCACGAAGAACUCCGAUUGCGAAGGCAGCCUACUAAACUGCCACUGACAUUGAUGCUCGAAAGUGUGGGUAUCAAACAGGAUUAGAUACCCGGGUAGUC